CCUCUACUCUGGCUUAGGCAGGGAUGGAUUCUCCUGACCGUCCCUUUUCUAACAGGAAUAUUGGUCUCCAGGCCCUGCUCCAUUGGAAUAGGCCAGGCCCAGGAAUGCUUGGCCGCCUGGGCGAUGGAACCACACAGCACGGGCUCUGUUAACCCGCACACAGUGCACAACAUGGGCCAGGAGCGAGCCAGCAAUCCUCACACACCGCUGUAUUAGCGCUGACAAGAUACCUUACAAUACUGGCAACGGAACUGCAUCUAGUCACCCCAGCGUAUAAGCAGGACUUAAAACCCACAAUGAGCUAGGUUCCUGAUGAGACAGCAC
Mauremys reevesii (Reeves's turtle) is the source of this 324-nucleotide long non-coding RNA. RefSeq lists it as uncharacterized. The transcript is spliced from 3 exons. Lineage: Eukaryota; Metazoa; Chordata; Testudines; Geoemydidae. The record is from RefSeq and is a predicted model, not a curated record.